UUGAUCCUGGCUCAGAAUCAACGCUGGCGGCGUGCCUCAGACAUGCAAGUCGAACGAUUAAAGCACUCUUCGGAGAGUGCAUAGAGUGGCGCACGGGUGUGUAACACGUAAGUAAUCUACCUUCGAGUGGGGAAUAACCCGGGGAAACCUGAGCUAAUACCGCAUAACGCAGCGGCAUCGCAAGAUGACAGUUGUUAAAUGAGCAAUCCGCUUGAAGAGGAGCUUGCGGCAGAUUAGCUAGUUGGUAAGUUAACGGCUUACCAAGGCUACGAUCUGUAUCCGGUCUAAGAGGACGGUCGUACACACUGACACUGAAUAACGGGUCAGACUCCUACGGGAGGCAGCAGUCUGGAAUUUUGGGCAAUGGGCGAAAGCCUGACCCAGCAACGCCGCGUGAAGUAUGAAGUAUUUCGGUAUGUAAACUUCGAAAGAAUAGGAAGAAUAAAUGAUGGUACUAUUUAUAAGCUCCGGCUAACUACGUGCCAGCAGCCGCGGUAAUUAGGU
This 504-nucleotide ribosomal RNA is filed under the name uncultured Acidobacteriota bacterium. RNAcentral's name for it is "bacterial SSU rRNA". It matches the Rfam family "Bacterial small subunit ribosomal RNA", at positions 13 to 528 of the family's 1533-position model. The record is from RNAcentral. Lineage: Bacteria; Pseudomonadati; Acidobacteriota.